Molecule: ribosomal RNA, 468 nt
Filed under: uncultured bacterium
Lineage: Bacteria
Description: partial 16S ribosomal RNA
Rfam family: Bacterial small subunit ribosomal RNA
Source: RNAcentral
GACGAACGCUGGCGGCGUGCUUUACACAUGCAAGUCGAACAGAAAGGCCCUGCUUUUGUGGGGUGCUCGAGUGGCGAACGGGUGAGUAACACGUGAGUAACCUGCCCUUGACUUUGGGAUAACUUCAGGAAACUGGGGCUAAUACCGGAUAGGAGCUCCUGCUGCAUGGUGGGGGUUGGAAAGUUUCGGCGGUUGGGGAUGGACUCGCGGCUUAUCAGCUUGUUGGUGGGGUAGUGGCUUACCAAGGCUUUGACGGGUAGCCGGCCUGAGAGGGUGACCGGCCACAUUGGGACUGAGAUACGGCCCAGACUCCUACGGGAGGCAGCAGUGGGGAAUAUUGCACAAUGGGCGGAAGCCUGAUGCAGCAACGCCGCGUGCGGGAUGACGGCCUUCGGGUUGUAAACCGCUUUCGCCUGUGACGAAGCGUGAGUGACGGUAAUGGGUAAAGAAGCACCGGCUAACUACGUG